This is a long non-coding RNA of Gallus gallus (chicken), 749 nucleotides long. NCBI's taxonomy places the organism in Eukaryota, Metazoa, Chordata, Aves, Galliformes, Phasianidae. The record is from Ensembl.
GGGAGAUACAGGGAGGGAGAGAUGGAGAGAGAUAGAGGGAUAAAGAGAUAUAGAGAGGGAGAUACAGAGAGAUGGAGAUACAGAGAUAGAGAGAGAGGGAGAUAUAGAGAGAUACAGAGAGAGAGAGGGAGAUAUGGGGGGAGAGAUGGGGGGAGAGAGAGAUAUAGAGAUAGAGGGAGAUACAGAGAGAGAGGGAGAGAUGGAGGGAGAUGGAGGGAGAUAUAGAGAUAGAGAGAGGGAAAUAUAGAGAUAGAUAUAGAGAUAGAGGGAGAUGGAGGGAUAUAGAGGGAUAUAGAGAGAUACAGAGGGAGAGAUAGAGAUAGAGGGAGAGAUAGAGAGAGAUAUAGGGGGAGAGAUAGAGAUGGAGGGAGAUAGAGAGAGAUAUAGAGGGAUAGAGGGAGAUACAGAGGGAGAUGGAGAGAUGGAAGGAGGGGGAGAUAUAGGGGGAGAGAUGGAGGGAGAUAGAGGGAAAUAGAGAGAGAGAGAUAUAGAGGGAUACAGAGGGAGAUAGAGAGAUGGGGGAGAUAUACAGAGGGACAUAGAGGGAGAUAGAGAGAGAGAGGGAGAUAGAGAGAUAGAGAGGGAGAUACAGAGAGAUACAGAGAUGGAGGGAGAGAUAUAGAGAUGGAGAUAUAGAGAGAGAUAGAGAGAUAGAUAGAGAUACAGAGAGAGAUAUAGAGAGAGAUAGAGGGAAAUAGAGAGAGGGAGAUAGGGAAAUAUAGAGAUAGAUAUAGAGGGAGAGAUAGAGA